GACGAACGCUGGCGGCGUGCUUAACACAUGCAAGUCGAACGGUAAGGCCCUUCGGGGUACACGAGUGGCGAACGGGUGAGUAACACGUGGGUGAUCUGCCCUGCACUUCGGGAUAAGCCUGGGAAACUGGGUCUAAUACCGGAUAGGACCACUGCCUGCAUGGGUGGUGGUGGAAAGCUUUUGCGGUGUGGGAUGGGCCCGCGGCCUAUCAGCUUGUUGGUGGGGUGAUGGCCUACCAAGGCGACGACGGGUAGCCGGCCUGAGAGGGUGACCGGCCACACUGGGACUGAGAUACGGCCCAGACUCCUACGGGAGGCAGCAGUGGGGAAUAUUGCACAAUGGGCGCAAGCCUGAUGCAGCGACGUCGCGUGAGGGAUGACGGCCUUCGGGUUGUAAACCUCUUUCAGCACAGACGAAGCGCAAGUGACGGUAGGUGCAGAAGAAGGACCGGCCAACUACGUGCCAGCAGCCGCCGUAA
This 478-nucleotide ribosomal RNA is filed under the name uncultured bacterium. Its description in RNAcentral is "partial 16S ribosomal RNA". It matches the Rfam family "Bacterial small subunit ribosomal RNA", at positions 28 to 523 of the family's 1533-position model. The record is from RNAcentral.